This 450-nucleotide ribosomal RNA is filed under the name uncultured bacterium. Its description in RNAcentral is "bacterial SSU rRNA". It matches the Rfam family "Bacterial small subunit ribosomal RNA", at positions 354 to 796 of the family's 1533-position model. The record is from RNAcentral.
GUGGGGAAUUUUGGACAAUGGGCGCAAGCCUGAUCCAGCCAUGCCGCGUGCAGGAUGAAGGCCUUCGGGUUGUAAACUGCUUUUGUACGGAACGAAAAAGCUCUCUCUAAUACAGGGGGUGAAUGACGGUACCGUAAGAAUAAGCACCGGCUAACUACGUGCCAGCAGCCGCGGUAAUACGUAGGGUGCAAGCGUUAAUCGGAAUUACUGGGCGUAAAGCGUGCGCAGGCGGUUAUGUAAGACAGAGGUGAAAUCCCCGGGCUCAACCUGGGAAGUGCAUUCGUGACUGCAAGGCUAGAGUGUGUCAGAGGGAGGUGGAAUUCCGCGUGUAGCAGUGAAAUGCGUAGAUAUGCGGAGGAACACCAAUGGCGAAGGCAAUCCCCUGGGCCUGUACUGACGCUCAUGCACGAAAGCGUGGGGAGCAAACAGGAUUAGAAACCCCGGUAGUCC